ACAGAACUUGAGAGCUUGCGGCCAAGGGAAGUCGUUCAUCGGUGGACCGACAGCGCCCCGGGCGGCAGAAAGAAGGCGGCGGCGGCGGAGACCCGGGGAAGUUGCCGGAUUUUUAAAAAGGCACCUGCUGGUUGGACCCAGACUGACACUCUUGCCUGAGGGCACAGACCAGGGAGCAGCAAUCAAUACUGGACACCAGGCAGCUUCCACGCUUGACAGUGUUGCCAGACCCUCGCGUGGGCAGGAGGGCACAGCUCUCUAGGAGGCAACAUUAUCCACUGGAGCAUCUAGAAGCACAAGUACUUCCAUGAUGGUCAGAGGCAGAAGAGGAUGCGGAGCAGGGUAGAAGACUCUCAUGACUACCUGCACGCCACCAUCUUCCCCGGCCUGGCGCAAUUGCCUUCAGGAUAUGUACAGCAUGACCCACAGGGAUUUCACUUCAUGGAAUGCAAAACCAACCUGCAUGAGCUUUGUUUGAAAACAAAACAAAACAAAACGAAAACAAAACAAAACAAAACAGAGAAAUCCUAUCUAUAAAAUUACUCUUAAUGGAAAUUCUGCCUGUAUAAAAUUAAAGUGGCAGGUGAGAACCAUUUUCAGCUUGCUUAUGGGUCUCUUACAGAUUUUCCUUGAAGUUUCAUGUGUUCUAAUUCCCUGAUAUGGAGGGAAGAGACUACAGUUGUGUUUACCUCGAAUUAUCAUUCAAAUAGAGGUGGUGUUUUCCCCCAGUAAAAUUACUAAGGUAAAUUGCCUAUUUCUAUAUUUCUGGAAAAUACUUUUUUCCCCAAAAAGUCUUGCAUCUGCCUCAUUAUUGGAUCCAAACUACAGUGUCUAUUGCUAAUUUAACUUGGUAAGGCCAGACUUCCUCAAGCCCUUGCCUGUGUCAAAGUCAGCAAACAACCAGGUACCAAGAUUUCAGUGCUUCUGAGAACUACUCAGGUAAGGUCAAAGCCCAGACAUCCCAUUAAUCUCUAUAAACACAUGUGGGUGUUUAUUGUAAUCCUCAUAUCACCUCUGUGCACACACAUACACAAGGACAAGUGGCCUCAAUAUUCAGACAGUUGACAGUGUCACCAGAAGGCAGCAAAGAUCACCCUGCCACCAGCAUGAUUCGUUGUUUUUGGAGCUGGGCUGUUUUUCCUCCAUGCAGAGCCCUUAUCUACAGCUCUGAUUGCAAACUUCAUUUUCCCUACUGAAGAGGUAAUCUAAAUGAUAAUCAAGUUCACACGAUUUAUUAGGACAAUGCUUUCCAGAAGCCUAUUUUCUGAAGUCACCCCGAGCACUUUGAAGGAUGUUUUAGACAUUUGCUUCCCCUAUCUUAGAAACACCAAAACCAAGAG
RNAcentral lists this long non-coding RNA (1340 nucleotides) under Homo sapiens (human). Its description in RNAcentral is "HSALNT0360580". Lineage: Eukaryota; Metazoa; Chordata; Mammalia; Primates; Hominidae. The record is from RNAcentral.